UGGGGAAUUUUGGACAAUGGGGGCAACCCUGAUCCAGCAAUGCCGCGUGAGUGAAGAAGGCCUUCGGGUUGUAAAGCUCUUUUGUCAGGGAAGAAACAGCAGCUCUAACACAGUCUGCGAAUGACGGUACCUGAAGAAUAAGCACCGGCUAACUACGUGCCAGCAGCCGCGGUAAUACGUAGGGUGCAAGCGUUAAUCGGAAUUACUGGGCGUAAAGCGUGCGCAGGCGGUUAUACAAGACAGGCGUGAAAUCCCCGGGCUUAACCUGGGAAUGGCGUCUGUGACUGUAUGACUAGAGUGUGUCAGAGGGGGGUAGAAUUCCACGUGUAGCAGUGAAAUGCGUAGAUAUGUGGAGGAAUACCAAUGGCGAAGGCAGCCCCCUGGGAUAACACUGACGCUCAUGCACGAAAGCGUGGGGAGCAAACAGG
Molecule: ribosomal RNA, 428 nt
Filed under: uncultured Polynucleobacter sp.
Lineage: Bacteria; Pseudomonadati; Pseudomonadota; Betaproteobacteria; Burkholderiales; Burkholderiaceae
Description: bacterial SSU rRNA
Rfam family: Bacterial small subunit ribosomal RNA
Source: RNAcentral